GGUUUUCAAAACCGCUCUCUUUUAGCCCACGGAUAGGAAAAAACGGCAGCCUUCCUGGUCAUGUUCAUCUCCUCUUCCUCCCCCACAUCCCCCAAAAGGGGCAGAUGCUACAACCUACAAGUUUUCUGUCUGUCUGCUGCACCAGCAUAUCUUGAUGUCUAUCUAUCUGCCAUCAAAAGUCUCCAUUUAAUCCUGCCACCACUCUGUGUAUGUGCUGCUGGCGCCUUGACAGAGACAACGCUUAAUUUCUUUCUUGCUUCUUCUACAACUCCAUUUAGUUUGGUUGAUCUUUCUUUGGUUUUUCCUUCUCCUGGUCCGGUCAAAUUUGACCAAAGCCCCCCAUGAUGUCCUUCUCCGAAUCCUACAUACCUUUCGGAAGUUCCUAGGCGCCAUUCCCCAUUUGUGUUGGUUCCAACUUCCAAGAACUGCUUCGAUACAAGUAUACGAGAUCAGAGUUGGAGAGCCCGCAACACCAAUCUUCGUCGGAAACAUUUCGCAAUCUUCAGAAACCAAGAUCAGGUUUCAGUCUUCUGAAGAAACAUAGAUUCCACAAGCCAUCUUGGAAUCUUCAGAGUUGCUGUCAUGGCAAUGGAGACCCAGCUCGCCAGAGACGAAGCAAGGCAGAGGAGAACAAUAAGCCGGAAGGAACAAGACCAGAAGAAUGCGUCGUCGUCUAGCUACUUCAGCACGGAGGCGUUUCUGAUGCUGGCCUGCGUGGCCGUGACGCUGUUGGUGCUGCCGUUGCUCCUGCCGCCGCUGCCGCCGCCGCCGGCCUUGCUGCUGCUGGUGCCCGUGUGCAUGCUUGUGCUCCUCGUCGUGCUCGCCUUCAUGCCGUCGGAUGUCAGGACCAUGGCCUCCUCCUACCUGUAGAGCUUGUAGAUACAGAGUGGUAGUAUAAAGAAGCAAAAAAAAAUUCAUUUUAUGAACUUUUUGGUUUUUGUUUUCGGCUUUGUUGGUGUAUCACGUUAAUGUGUGCAAGAAGAGUUUUGUUUUUUCCGGCAUAUUAAUGUAUAGAUAUAUCAGAAGGUCAUAUGGCAUUUUAUCUUAUUUGCAUUU
Brachypodium distachyon (stiff brome) is the source of this 1056-nucleotide long non-coding RNA. RefSeq lists it as uncharacterized. The transcript is spliced from 2 exons. The record is from RefSeq and is a predicted model, not a curated record. NCBI's taxonomy places the organism in Eukaryota, Viridiplantae, Streptophyta, Magnoliopsida, Poales, Poaceae.